This 424-nucleotide ribosomal RNA is filed under the name uncultured bacterium. Its description in RNAcentral is "bacterial SSU rRNA". It matches the Rfam family "Bacterial small subunit ribosomal RNA", at positions 27 to 439 of the family's 1533-position model. The record is from RNAcentral.
GAACGAACGUUAGCGGCGCGCCUAACACAUGCAAGUCGAGCGAGAAAGGGCUUCGGCCCCCGGUAAAGCGGCGCACGGGUGAGUAACACGUAGGCAAUCUGCCUCGAGGUGGUGGAUAACCCUCCGAAAAGGAUGGCUAAUACAGCAUGAGACCACGUCGUCGAAAGACGAUGCGGCCAAAGCCGGCCUCUUCAUGAAAGCUGGCGCCACGAGAUGAGCCUGCGGCCCAUCAGCUAGUUGGUAGGGUAACGGCCUACCAAGGCAAAGACGGGUAGCUGGUCUGAGAGGAUGAUCAGCCACACUGGAACUGAGACACGGUCCAGACUCCUACGGGAGGCAGCAGUGGGGAAUCUUGCGCAAUGGGCGAAAGCCUGACGCAGCGACGCCGCGUGAGCGAUGAAGGCCUGGUGUAAGACUCUGUUGG